CCCCCCUGAAUUUAAGCAUAUUAAUGAGGGGUGGAAAAGAAACUAACAAGGAUUUUCUUAGUAGCGGCGAGCGAAAAGAAAUCAGUUCAGCACUAAGUCACUUUGUCUUUAUGGCAAAUGUGAGAUGCAGUGUAUGGAAUGUUCAAUUUCUAGUAUGAGAAAUUAACGAUUUAAGUCCUUCUUAAAUGAGGCCAUUUACCCAUAGAGGGUGCCAGGCCCGUAUAACGUUAAUGAUUACUAGAGAACAUUUCCAAAGAGUCGUGUUGCUUGAUAGUGCAGCACUAAGUGGGUGGUAAACUCCAUCUAAAACUAAAUAUAACCAUGAGACCGAUAGUAAACAAGUACCGUGAGGGAAAGUUGAAAAGAACUCUGAAUAGAGAGUUAAAUAGUACGUGAAACUGCUUAGAGGUUAAGCCCGAUGAACCUGAAUAUCCAUUAUGGAAAAUUCAUCGUUACGAUUGUGAUAAUAAUAUUAUUAUAAGAAUAGCGUGCAUUUUUUCCAUAUAAGGACAUUGUAAUCUAUUAACAGUUUAUUCAAAUUAUUUUGCUUGUCUUUUUAACAUAGAAUAAAUGCUGUUGAUUUGAUAAAGUGUUGAUAGAUUUAUUUGUAUAUAGUGCUUGAAUAUUUAUAUUCUAUAAUGGCAUAUUAAUCAUUGAUUUUUGUGUUUAUUAUAUGCGCUUAUAUGAUUAACAAUGCGAAAGAUUCAGGAUACCUUCGGGACCCGUCUUGAAACACGGACCAAGGAGUCUAACAUAUUUGCAAGUUAUUGGGAAUUAAAAAACCUAAUAGCGAAAUUAACAUAACUUUAAUGGGAUUAGUUUUUAGUACUAUUUAGUCUAUUAAUUCAAUCCCGGGGCGUUCAUCAGUUAUACAUAAUAAUAUUUAUAUUAUUUAUGCCUCUAACUAGAGCGUACCUUGAGCAUAUAUGCUGUGACCCGAAAGAUGGUGAACUAUACUUGAUCAGGUUGAAGUCAGGGGAAACCCUGAUGGAAGACCGAAACAGUUCUGACGUGCAAAUCGAUUGUCAGAAUUGAGUAUAGGGGCGAAAGACCAAUCGAACCAUCUAGUAGCUGGUUCCCUCCGAAGUUUCCCUCAGGAUAGCUGGUGCAUUUAAAAUUAUGUAAAAUAAUCUUAUCUGGUAAAGCGAAUGAUUAGAGGCCUUAGGGUCGAAACGACCUUAACCUAUUCUCAAACUUUAAAUGGGUAAGAACCUCACCUUUCUUGGUAUGAAGGUAGUGGUUGUGAUAUAAUGUGCCCAGUGGGCCACUUUUGGUAAGCAGAACUGGCGCUGUGGGAUGAACCAAACGUAAUGUUACGGUGCCCAAAUUAACAACUCAUGCAGAAACCAUGAAAGGCGUUGGUUGCUUAAAACAGCAGGACGGUGGACAUGGAAGUCGUAAUCCGCUAAGGAGUGUGUAACAACUCACCUGCCGAAGCAACUAGCCCUUAAAAUGGAUGGCGCUUAAGUUGUAUACCUAUACAUUACCGCUAAAGUAGAUGGCCUAUGUUCAAUCUCGGUUGGAUUAUAGACUUUGAAACUUUAGUGAGUAGGAGGGUACAAUUGUGGCUUGGAAGUGUUUGGCGUAAGCCUGCAUGGAGCCGCAAUUGGUACAGAUCUUGGUGGUAGUAGCAAAUAAUCGAAUGAGACCUUGGAGGACUGAAGUGGAGAAGGGUUUCGUGUGAACAGUGGUUGAUCACGAGUUAGUCGGUCCUAAGUUCAAGGCUAACGCCGAAAAUUUUCAAGUUAUAAUAACCGAUAAUUAAACACUUGAUAAUUUCGAACGAAAGGGAAUACGGUUCCAAUUCCGUAACCUGUUGAGUAUCCGUUUGUUAUUAAAUAUGGGCCUUGUGCUCAUCCUGGCAACAGGAACGACCAUAAAGAAGCCGUCGAGAGAUAUCGGAAGAGUUUUCUUUUCUGUUUUAUAGUCGUACUACCAUGGAAGUCUUUCGAAGAGAGAUAUGGUGGAUGGACUAGAAGAGCAUGACAUUUACUGUUGUGUCGAUAUUUUCUCCUCGGACCUUGAAAAUUUAUGGUGGGGUCACGCAAACUUCUCAACAGGCCGUACCAAUAUCCGCAGCUGGUCUCCAAGGUGAAGAGUCUCUAGUCGAUAGAAUAAUGUAGGUAAGGGAAGUCGGA
This 2138-nucleotide ribosomal RNA is filed under the name Mesembrina meridiana. Its description in RNAcentral is "eukaryotic LSU rRNA". It matches the Rfam family "Eukaryotic large subunit ribosomal RNA", at positions 24 to 1918 of the family's 3401-position model. The record is from RNAcentral. Lineage: Eukaryota; Metazoa; Arthropoda; Insecta; Diptera; Muscidae.